This 405-nucleotide ribosomal RNA is filed under the name uncultured bacterium. RNAcentral's name for it is "partial 16S ribosomal RNA". It matches the Rfam family "Bacterial small subunit ribosomal RNA", at positions 28 to 525 of the family's 1533-position model. The record is from RNAcentral.
GAUGAACGUUAGCUACAGGCUUAACACAUGCAAGUCGAGGGACCGGCGCACGGGUGAGUAACACGUAUCCAACCUGCCCUUUACUCGGGGAUAGCCUUUCGAAAGAAAGAUUAAUACCCGAUGUAAAGGAUGGGGAUGCGUUCCAUUAGGUUGUUGGUGAGGUAACGGCUCACCAAGCCUUCGAUGGAUAGGGGUUCUGAGAGGAAGGUCCCGCACAUUGGAACUGGGACACGGUCCAAACUCCUACGGGAAGCAGCAGUGAGGAAUAAUGGUCAAUGGGCGUUAGCCUGAACCAGCCAAGUAGCGUGAAGGAUGAAGGCUUAUGAGUCGUAAACUUCUGUUAUAUAAGAAUAUGUAUUAUAUGAAUAAGGAUCGGCAAACUCCGUGCCAGCAGCCGCGGUAAAC